AAAAACAGUCCAAAUUACUGUCCACCAAGAUCCUUAGCUUACAAACUUUCAGCUAAAAAAAAUUAAAUUCCUGUAUCUUCACAAAAGUUUUAACCAACGUAAAUAAAUCCUCAUACCUCCAGUUAUAAUGGUAGCAUCUUUAAUAAACAUCUUAACAGAAAUAUUAAUAAACUUGAUAGAACUAUCCCAACACCAUUAGCAGAAGAAAAUUAAACAGGAGGAAGAAAAAAGUUAAAUUCAGGCAACAAUGGAUGACCUGGUAUAAUGACUGAGCUAUAUUUGGUGACAGCUUGGGGUGGGACAGCAGAAUUUUAAAAGAACUGCAUUUGCCAUUUUUAAAGAGCUUAGUUAUUAGUCGUCAAGAGGGUCUAGGUUCCAGAAAGGUCAUAUAGGGAUAAAAAUUUCAUCGAAGUAAUGGAGGAAUGGUUGGUGUUAGAAGAGCAAGCAUAGUCUUAAUGAUAAAGAUAACAUCACAUUGGAUGCUUCAGUGAAGGUCAAGCUUGCAAAGUCUGAUCCAUCCAGAAAUAGUGACCACAGAAGACAGUGUAGUCAAUUGAAGGGAACUACAUUUGUGGCAAGAAUUUAAGAAUUUGUUUUUCAACUUCCCAAUAUUCAGCUAGAAGCAAACAAAGCCGGAUGUUAGCAAGCCACACAAGCCACCUGGCACCUUGAGACGCUCUACCAAGCAAGAGCAGAGGAAGUUGUUGUUGAUGACGUUGCCAAGGGCUUCAGAAAUGGAAGUGCAAGAAGCGUGGGAGGCAAACUGGAUCACGGAUUUCAGAGAAACUGAAGGUGGAAGCAGAGAACAAAUGCUUUCCUGGUCAAUUAUGGAAGCGUCCGGUUCAUUUAAUCCGCUUUUGAAACUUUACUCUGCGGUCAAUUACGGAUUGCCUCGCUCCCCUCCUCCCCCCCGCAGAUCUGCAAGAGGGGAGACGCACCGGACAGAAGAGCCGCUCCCGUGCUCAGGCUCCGG
Long non-coding RNA from Hypanus sabinus (Atlantic stingray), 973 nucleotides. RefSeq lists it as uncharacterized. The transcript has 3 exons. The record is from RefSeq and is a predicted model, not a curated record. NCBI's taxonomy places the organism in Eukaryota, Metazoa, Chordata, Chondrichthyes, Myliobatiformes, Dasyatidae.